CAGUCGCCACGGUAAUACGUAGGUGGCAAGCGUUGUCCGGAAUUAUUGGGCGUAAAGCGCGCGCAGGCGGUUUCUUAAGUCUGAUGUGAAAGCCCCCGGCUUAACCGGGGAGGGUCAUUGGAAACUGGGAGACUUAGAGUGCAGAAGAGGAGAGUGGAAUUCCAUGUGUAGCGGUGAAAUGCGUAGAUAUAUGGAGGAACACCAGUGGCGAAGGCGACUCUCUGGUCUGUAACUGACGCUGAGGCGCGAAAGCGUGGGGAGCAAACAGGAUUAGAGACCCCCGUAGUCCCUGUCUCUUAUA
This 301-nucleotide ribosomal RNA is filed under the name uncultured bacterium. Its description in RNAcentral is "partial 16S ribosomal RNA". It matches the Rfam family "Bacterial small subunit ribosomal RNA", at positions 509 to 808 of the family's 1533-position model. The record is from RNAcentral.